Molecule: ribosomal RNA, 253 nt
Filed under: uncultured bacterium
Lineage: Bacteria
Description: partial 16S ribosomal RNA
Rfam family: Bacterial small subunit ribosomal RNA
Source: RNAcentral
UACGUAGGUGGCAAGCGUUGUCCGGAUUUACUGGGCGUAAAGAGCGCGCAGGCGGUCGUGCAAGUCGCGUGUGAAAGCCCCCGGCUCAACUGGGGAGGGUCACGCGAUACUGUUCGACUCGAAGGCAGGAGAGGGAAGCGGAAUUCCCGGUGUAGUGGUGAAAUGCGCAGAUAUCAGGAGGAACACCGGUGGCGAAGGCGGAUCUCUGGGCCUUACCUGACGCUCAGGCGCGAAAGCUAGGGGAGCGAACAGG